RNAcentral lists this long non-coding RNA (389 nucleotides) under Monodelphis domestica (gray short-tailed opossum). RNAcentral's name for it is "lncRNA (ENSMODG00000033722.2)". The record is from RNAcentral. Lineage: Eukaryota; Metazoa; Chordata; Mammalia; Didelphimorphia; Didelphidae.
AGUUAGGUUCAACCUAUCAAUCAAGGUCACAGUUAAAAGCAUUUAUUAGACACAUAACUCUUGCCAGGUACUGUGCUGGGAACAGAAGAUAUAGAAGCAACAAUGAGUCAGUCUUUCAGUCUUUGCCCUUAAGAUAUUAAUAUUCCACCAGAAGGACAAAUGUUCACAGGAGGAGAUGUCAAGGAGGCAGGACUGGACCUCAGGAGAGAAAUGAGGGCUAAACAUAGAAGUCAUCUAGAGAUGACAGGUACACAUUAGGGAGAAGAGAGUAAAGGGCUGUAAGAAACAAGUCCAGCUGGGAGAACUUAAAAAUGUGGACAGAUACACUUCAAGAAACAGAAGAUGGGAACAACCCUUGGAUAGGUCACUUCUAUAAUAUGCACCCAGAC